GACGAACGCUGGCGGCGUGCUUAACACAUGCAAGUCGAACGGAAAGGCCCUGCUUUUGUGGGGUGCUCGAGUGGCGAACGGGUGAGUAACACGUGAGUAACCUGCCCUUGACUUUGGGAUAACUUCAGGAAACUGGGGCUAAUACCGGAUAGGAGCUCCUGCUGCAUGGUGGGGGUUGGAAAGUUUCGGCGGUUGGGGAUGGACUCGCGGCUUAUCAGCUUGUUGGUGGGGUAGUGGCUUACCAAGGCUUUGACGGGUAGCCGGCCUGAGAGGGUGACCGGCCACAUUGGGACUGGGAUACGGCCCAGACUCCUACGGGAGGCAGCAGGGGGGAAUAUUGCACAAAGGGCGGAAGCCUGAUGCAGCAACGCCGCGGGCGGGAUGACGGCCUUCGGGUUGUAAACCGCUUUCGCCUGUGACGAAGCGUGAGUGACGGUAAUGGGUAAAGAAGCACCGGCUAACUACGGGC
This 469-nucleotide ribosomal RNA is filed under the name uncultured bacterium. RNAcentral's name for it is "partial 16S ribosomal RNA". It matches the Rfam family "Bacterial small subunit ribosomal RNA", at positions 28 to 508 of the family's 1533-position model. The record is from RNAcentral.